GAUGAACGCUGGCGGCGUGCCUAAUACAUGCAAGUAGAACGCUGAAGCUUGGUGCUUGCACCGAGCGGAUGAGUUGCGAACGGGUGAGUAACGCGUAGGUAACCUGCCUGGUAGCGGGGGAUAACUAUUGGAAACGAUAGCUAAUACCGCAUAACAGUAGAUAUUGCAUGAUAUCUGCUUGAAAGGUGCAAAUGCAUCACUACCAGAUGGACCUGCGUUGUAUUAGCUAGUUGGUGAGGUAACGGCUCACCAAGGCGACGAUACAUAGCCGACCUGAGAGGGUGAUCGGCCACACUGGGACUGGGACACGGCCCAGACUCCUACGGGAGGCAGCAGUAGGGAAUCUUCGGCAAUGGGGGGAACCCUGACCGAGCAACGCCGCGUGAGUGAAGAAGGUUUUCGGAUCGUAAAGCUCUGUUGUAAGAGAAGAACGAGUGUGAGAGUGGAAAGUUCACACUGUGACGGUAUCUUACCAGAAAGGGACGGCUAACUACGUG
Molecule: ribosomal RNA, 497 nt
Filed under: uncultured bacterium
Lineage: Bacteria
Description: partial 16S ribosomal RNA
Rfam family: Bacterial small subunit ribosomal RNA
Source: RNAcentral